AGGUCCUGAUUGGGGGCGGAAGGAGAACCCAAGGAAAGUUCACUUGGAGGCCCUUCCUUUCUGUCCCCACAGGACUUCGGC
Eptesicus fuscus (big brown bat) is the source of this 81-nucleotide non-coding RNA. The record is from Rfam. Lineage: Eukaryota; Metazoa; Chordata; Mammalia; Chiroptera; Vespertilionidae.